GCAAGUCGAGCGGCAGCACGGGUACUUGUACCUGGUGGCGAGCGGCGGACGGGUGAGUAAUGCCUAGGAAUCUGCCUGGUAGUGGGGGAUAACGCUCGGAAACGGACGCUAAUACCGCAUACGUCCUACGGGAGAAAGCAGGGGACCUUCGGGCCUUGCGCUAUCAGAUGAGCCUAGGUCGGAUUAGCUAGUUGGUGAGGUAAUGGCUCACCAAGGCGACGAUCCGUAACUGGUCUGAGAGGAUGAUCAGUCACACUGGAACUGAGACACGGUCCAGACUCCUACGGGAGGCAGCAGUGGGGAAUAUUGGACAAUGGGCGAAAGCCUGAUCCAGCCAUGCCGCGUGUGUGAAGAAGGUCUUCGGAUUGUAAAGCACUUUAAGUUGGGAGGAAGGGCAGUUACCUAAUACGUAUCUGUUUUGACGUUACCGACAGAAUAAGCACCGGCUAACUCUGUGCCAGCAGCCGCGGUAAUACAGAGGGUGCAAGCGUUAAUCGGAAUUACUGGGCGUAAAGCGCGCGUAGGUGGUUUGUUAAGUUGAAUGUGAAAUCCCCGGGCUCAACCUGGGAACUGCAUCCAAAACUGGCAAGCUAGAGUAUGGUAGAGGGUGGUGGAAU
Molecule: ribosomal RNA, 617 nt
Filed under: Pseudomonas sp. LL14
Lineage: Bacteria; Pseudomonadati; Pseudomonadota; Gammaproteobacteria; Pseudomonadales; Pseudomonadaceae
Description: bacterial SSU rRNA
Rfam family: Bacterial small subunit ribosomal RNA
Source: RNAcentral